GUCUCCUCUACCGUCAGUGAAGGGUUAAUAAUGGUCACGUGGCGUCCCUCAGCCGUUGUCUUGGUGACCAGCCACCUCCCGCCCCUUGCCCUGAUUGGCGGAGGCGCUACAGGACGUGCCGUAUAAAAAGCGCCACUGGGAACGGGCUCAGCCUUUCCGGCCGGAGUCUCGACCCAAGGAAGUCCCGGAGCCGGCCCGCUGAACGGUGUCUGAUGUGAUGUUUGUAAGAAUGUUAAUAAAGUUUGUUUCCUCUCA
Molecule: long non-coding RNA, 255 nt
Organism: Spea bombifrons (plains spadefoot toad)
Lineage: Eukaryota; Metazoa; Chordata; Amphibia; Anura; Pelobatidae
Exons: 2
Source: RefSeq, a predicted model, not a curated record